Molecule: transfer RNA, 68 nt
Filed under: Phrynosoma platyrhinos (Desert horned lizard)
Lineage: Eukaryota; Metazoa; Chordata; Lepidosauria; Squamata; Phrynosomatidae
Description: tRNA-OTHER
Source: RNAcentral
GAGUUUGUGGCAUAGUGGUUUGAGCAUUGGACUGCAACUCUGGAGACUAGGGUUCAAUUCUGAGCUCG